AUGCGAUAAGUAAUGUGAAUUGCAGAAUUUAGUGAAUCAUCGAAUCUUUGAACGCACAUUGCGCCCCUUGGUAUUCCGGGGGGCAUGCCUGUUCGAGCGUCAUUUCAACCCUCAAGCUCUGCUUGGUAUUGGGGCCUGCGGAUCUCGCAGCUCUUAAAAUCAGUGGCGGUGCCUGUUGGCUCUGAGCGUAGUAAUACUUAUCGCUACGGAGUCCAGCAGGCCACUAGCCAGCAACCCCAAAUUUUCUAUGGUUGACCUCGGAUCAGGUAGGGAUACCCGCUGAACUUAA
This 289-nucleotide unclassified non-coding RNA is filed under the name uncultured Helotiales. RNAcentral describes it as "partial contains 5.8S ribosomal RNA, internal transcribed spacer 2, and large subunit ribosomal RNA". The stretch from base 1 to 102 matches the Rfam family "5.8S ribosomal RNA", at positions 53 to 154 of the family's 154-position model. Lineage: Eukaryota; Fungi; Ascomycota; Leotiomycetes; Helotiales. The record is from RNAcentral.